GACGGGCCUUCCCGCAUGGAAGCGCGCCCAACCGGGUCAGGUGGGGAACCAAGCAGCCCUAAGCGUUGCGACCAGUGCCGGGGUCAGGCUCGUCACC
RNAcentral lists this signal recognition particle RNA (97 nucleotides) under Roseateles sp. RNAcentral's name for it is "signal recognition particle sRNA small type". It matches the Rfam family "Bacterial small signal recognition particle RNA". From Rfam's summary of the family: The signal recognition particle (SRP) is a universally conserved ribonucleoprotein involved in the co-translational targeting of proteins to membranes. Archaeal SRP consists of a 7S RNA and homologues of the eukaryotic SRP19 and SRP54 proteins. In most bacteria, the SRP consists of a 4.5S RNA and the Ffh protein (a homologue of the eukaryotic SRP54 protein). RNAcentral also lists the same sequence under 1 other name. The record is from RNAcentral. Lineage: Bacteria; Pseudomonadati; Pseudomonadota; Betaproteobacteria; Burkholderiales; Sphaerotilaceae.